AAGAAAGAAAAUGCUGAGGAGA
Molecule: non-coding RNA, 22 nt
Filed under: Mus musculus (house mouse)
Lineage: Eukaryota; Metazoa; Chordata; Mammalia; Rodentia; Muridae
Source: RNAcentral